AGGUCACUGGACGAAGUGAAUGGGCCGUAGCCCAACCUCUGUUGGGCCGCGCUCAGGAAAGUCCCCGGGCCAUGUGCUGCAGAGAUGCAGUCUCGGGAACGAGAAGGGCUUUAAGCGGUUGGAGCCCCCAUCGCCACCGCGCGAUGAGGCUGAGACGCGUGCGGAGCCUCCGUGGGGCUCUCCCGAAGCUGAAUUGGCCGAUACUCACAGUUAUUCACUUGGCCCAUUGUUCUAACAGAACGGGGCUUACGCUCCAGUGGCU
This 262-nucleotide RNase MRP RNA is filed under the name Eucalyptus grandis. RNAcentral's name for it is "RNase MRP". It matches the Rfam family "RNase MRP". Rfam says of the family: RNase MRP is an enzymatically active ribonucleoprotein with two distinct roles in eukaryotes. In mitochondria it plays a direct role in the initiation of mitochondrial DNA replication. Lineage: Eukaryota; Viridiplantae; Streptophyta; Magnoliopsida; Myrtales; Myrtaceae. The record is from Rfam by way of RNAcentral.